UAAUAAGUGUUUAUGGCACUUUUUAAAUCCAUAUCCACCUUGUGUGCAAUGUCGGUCGAUCUUCUUUUUUUGAGGAUCGACCAAGACGAUCAACCUUAUUUUUUAACUCUUUGUCUGAAGAAUAUAUUAAAUAAACAAUUCAAAAUA
This 147-nucleotide unclassified non-coding RNA is filed under the name soil metagenome. RNAcentral describes it as "partial internal transcribed spacer 1". The record is from RNAcentral.